This 293-nucleotide long non-coding RNA is filed under the name Elaeis guineensis (African oil palm). RNAcentral's name for it is "long non-coding RNA (EGUI_LNC019739)". Lineage: Eukaryota; Viridiplantae; Streptophyta; Magnoliopsida; Arecales; Arecaceae. The record is from RNAcentral.
CAUCAACAGAUGAUCGAGGGUAGUUUGGAUAGAUUACGCCAGUGAAAACCAACUCUAUCUGUGACAGGAUUGAGUCUAUCCUUUUUCAUUACAUUUCUUCUUAAACCUGCCCUCCUCUUGAUUGAUCUACCACAGAAGCCUCCCUCUCCCUUCUUCUUCACCUCUGGUAAUUGCCAGACUCUGCAACCAAGCCACUGUUAUCCAAAAAUUCUUUGUUCUCCCUAAUUCUAUCUAUUUUUUUGUUUCGGGAGAUUUUGGACGUGAUACCUAUCGGAAUCUACCUUGCCGGCUGC